Ribosomal RNA from Astatotilapia calliptera (eastern happy), 119 nucleotides. The record is from Ensembl. Lineage: Eukaryota; Metazoa; Chordata; Actinopteri; Cichliformes; Cichlidae.
GCUUACGGCCAUACCACCCUGAACACGCCCGAUCUCGUCUGAUCUCGGAAGCUAAGCAGGGUCGGGCCUCGUCAGUACUUGGAUGGGAGACCGCCUGGGAAUAGCAGGUGCUGUAAGCU